Cyprinus carpio (common carp) is the source of this 2256-nucleotide long non-coding RNA. NCBI's taxonomy places the organism in Eukaryota, Metazoa, Chordata, Actinopteri, Cypriniformes, Cyprinidae. The record is from Ensembl.
CUCUGGUUAUCAAUAAGUCAUUCAUAUUAAAUUAAUAUAACAAUGUUAGAGAUUACUUGCCAUUUCCAGAGUAAAGAUCAGUUUCUUCUUUCAGUUUGUUGAGAGAAAGUGGAACUGGGUGACAAGUGUUAACACCCACAGACACCUCAGAAACCUGCUGCAUGCUGCUAUGGCACCAAAAAUCUGUGAAGGAGGAUGAAUCUGGGGGUGGACACAUAGUUAUGAAUGCUCUCGAAAGAGAAUUAUUUUAUGUUUGUCCUUACAGUUCAUUGAUACAACAUUCACAUACAAUAUUAAACCAAUCAGCUCAACUCGUAAUUAUCAUCUGGAACAGUAUUCUGCUCAAUAGCAGAUGCUUGUUACAGAAAUGUAAAUUCAGCUAAAACAAUAUACUUGAUAUUUCCAUAAAAAAAAAAAAAAAAAAAGAAUUCACCAUCUUGCACAAAUUAAGGGACAUUUCAGUAGCAGGUCGCUAAAUGUUGGUAAGUCUAAUAUUCAAAAUAAAACUAAAAUUACUAUCAUUAGAAGCCAUCGGGAAACUAAAACUUCUAAUAUAAUGGUUGCCAUGUUGUUGACUUUAGGCAAAUCUCAUGGAUCAGUCCGUGAUUCAGCCGGAAACAAGCAAGUAGCCACUUUUCUCGUGGUUUUAACGUUACCUACGAGCUAAUGUUUAAUCAGUGAACUUUGCUUGUUUUUUAUUGAUCCAGUGGAACUGGUGGGUGUCACUCGUGUGGUGGAUGCCAUCACGUUUUGGGCUCAGAAUGUGACAGACAAAAUAAAUGAGAAGAUAAAUGUUAUGCUGACAGAAAAAUGACAGAGUUCACACAAGUUCUAAAUUUUGUACAUUGAACUCCCAGAAGAACUGCAGACAACAGGACUUGCAAAAACGUACAAGUUCUGGGACUUUCAUGUGUCAAUUGAGUAGGAUUCCCCGAUUCUUUCACAGGGGAAGUCCUUUCUUCAGAAUACGAUUCAUGGAAAAAAGUUGCAUGUCCAUAAAAAGUCGGUUUGCUUUGAUGGAACCAUCCUGGUUGAAGCCUUCCAGGGGAAUCUUGACAUUGAGGAUGAGAGAGGUGAUCAAUGAUAAGGACAUGGAGAUAAAGAAACUAAAAGAAGAAGGAAGUGCCAUCCAGCAGCAUGCAUCUCUCCUGGGGCAGCAGCUUGAGGAGGCCAAAUUAGAGCUCCAGGUGCCCAGAACUGUUUCACACAUAGGGGUGUUGAUUGUUCAGUGUGUUUUAGGCCAUGAGGCAGAUUAAUGACAUCCACCUUAUUUUAUUAACUUAAAAAAUGCGCACCUGUCUUGAAUGUCCGACGUUUCUGGUUUCAUCCGUUUCCAUUUAUUUUUUUCACUGUGUAACAUAGCUCAUUUAUGCUGCUUGAUACUGCAAAGUGGUAUUUCUUAUCGUAUAGUAUUAAUGUAUUAUUUUAACUAGUAACACACUGGUUUGUAGUGCAAAUAGUUCUACGGUUUGCUACACUUUGUUGUUCUUCUAGUUAUUAAAGGGAUACUCCACCCCAAAAUGAAACUUUUGUCAUUAUUCCCAUGUCGUUCCAAACCCGUAAAAGCUCCGUUCGUCUUCGGAACACAAUUUAAGAAAUUUUGGAUGAAAACCGGGAGGCCUGUGACUGUCCCAUAGACUGCCAAGUAAGUUACACUGUCAAGGUCCAGAAAAGUAUGAAAGACAUCGUCAGAAUACUCGAGAAUAUUUUUUGUAAGCAACUGAUCUUCUGUAUCAGCCGUGCCACAAAGAUGCGGUUUUCUUUCAAAUCAAAGCUAAAUACACGUAGAGACAGUGCAUCUUUGCUCUUUUAUCUGCUGUAGAUGACUUCCUGCAGGAGGUGGACAAGCUGCCAAUCGCUGACCGCUUGUACAAGUUGAAGGUAUGUAGUGAAGGAAGAUACAAAUGAGAAUUAUUUUACUUCUCGAAUCAGCUUGUCAGAGACUGUGCUCAGUUCUGGACUCUCUUGUAUUUUCUAACUAAUAGAGGUGUGAAAAACCCAUGAAUUAAAAAAAAAACCCAAAUACAUAGUAAGUGAAGAUUCACCUUCCAGCUUUUCAUUAAUGCAUUUCGAACUGUGUCGUCUGCAUAUAUAGGAAGUUGCAUCCUCACUGACUGCAAUAUUUAGCUCUCUUAUGCUGGCGGAGCAGAACGAAGAGUGCUCUUUUGAGAAGUUCUGUGAGUGGAAGGGGCACAAACAACAACAAAAUGAAAAAUGUGUGAAAACCUACAGAUGAGGCUCUCCUUGCUCUUAGCU